Molecule: long non-coding RNA, 392 nt
Organism: Mauremys reevesii (Reeves's turtle)
Lineage: Eukaryota; Metazoa; Chordata; Testudines; Geoemydidae
Exons: 3
Source: RefSeq, a predicted model, not a curated record
UCUGAAUGGAAAGGCACUUACUUAUCUAUUAAUCUUUCACAAAAGGUGCAUAAUAAAUCAAUGUUCAUGUACAAAGGAAUUCUUAGAAAAUUACCCGUUACAUCUUUGGGGGUAAAAGGUCUGUGUUAUUGCACUGAAUGCCAGAAGGAUCGUGAAUGAUUUACCAGCAAUUGUCAGUUUUUACACCAAAGGCAAUACAAAAAAGAACAUAGGAUUGGCCAAACUGCAUCAGAUCAGAGGUCCACCUAACCCAGUCUCCUGUUUCCAUUAUUGGCCAGUACAAGAUGCUUCAAAGGAAUGUGCAAUAACCCUACAGCAAGAAGACGUGGGGCAUCCUAGUCUUUCUUGUGACUCAAAAUCAACACCAGCUACUGAAUAUAAGAAAGUCCAGC